CAGCAGCCACGGGAAUACGUAGGUGGCGAGCGUUGUCCGGAAUUAUUGGGUGUAAAGGGAGCGCAGGCGGACAUAUAAGUCCAUCUUAAAAGUGCGGGGCUCAACCCCGUGAGGGGAUGGAAACUGUAUGCCUUGAGUGCAGGAGAGGAAAGCGGAAUUCCCAGUGUAGCGGUGAAAUGCGUAGAUAUUGGGAGGAACACCAGUGGCGAAGGCGGCUUUUUGGACUGCAACUGACGCUGAGGCUCGAAAGCCAGGGGAGCGAACGGGAUUAGAGACCCCCGUAGUCCCUGUCUCUUAUACA
Molecule: ribosomal RNA, 301 nt
Filed under: uncultured bacterium
Lineage: Bacteria
Description: partial 16S ribosomal RNA
Rfam family: Bacterial small subunit ribosomal RNA
Source: RNAcentral